Molecule: long non-coding RNA, 787 nt
Filed under: Durio zibethinus
Lineage: Eukaryota; Viridiplantae; Streptophyta; Magnoliopsida; Malvales; Malvaceae
Description: long non-coding RNA (DZIB_LNC001292)
Source: RNAcentral
UCAUUUUGAGGACAUUUUGAAGGCAAUGGAUGCUAGUAGGGCUGAGCAUUAAUCUGUUUCUACCGAAACAAUCGACAAAAAAUUGGUAUAUAAAUUAAAUCAAUUUUGAUUUUUUGAUUAAAUAAACUAAAUCGAUUGAUGGUUCAAUUUAUUCGGUGUUGGUGGUCGAUUUUUGGCCUUAAUAUUCAAGAACCAAAUCGACCGAAAUACAUACUGUUAAUAUUUUAUAUUUUAAUUAUUUUAUUUUUUCAAAACCUAAUUCCUCUUUGACUUUUUCUCCCUCGAACUAUCGUCCUCGCCCUCGCCCUCUCCCUCGCCCUCUUUGUCUCGCUCAGGCCCUCGCCAUUGCCUACUCGAUCUUGACGCCCCACGCCUCAACCGACGACCACUGACAAUCAUUCAAGUACCAAACCUCACCUCUAUUUCUCUUCUGUCCUCUCGCCUCUCACCACCAACAAAAGGAUAUUAAUCUUCAUCUAUAGAUCUGCUUUCUCUUUCGUCUCCAACAAAUAGUAAUCGCUUUGAAGCUUUGUUCUUGCUUUUUUCUGUAACUCAAGUUAGCUGUUCAUCAUUAAGGUAAGAUCCUUUCCUUUUUAGGAUUUCUAAUUAUUUUCAGGCAUUUUCUCUUUCAUUUUCUUUUGACUCAAAUGAUGAUUAUAAUAAUCAAGCAUAUGCGUCUAUUUGGAAAAUUGAAGGGCAAUAUUUACUCAAUUUCAUUUACAUUGCAGAGUGCUACUAGAAUGUUAAUAUUAUGAUAAUUAAAAGAAUUUUUUUUUGUAUUUGACAC